This 253-nucleotide ribosomal RNA is filed under the name uncultured bacterium. RNAcentral's name for it is "partial 16S ribosomal RNA". It matches the Rfam family "Bacterial small subunit ribosomal RNA", at positions 524 to 776 of the family's 1533-position model. The record is from RNAcentral.
UACGGGGGGGGCAAGCGUUGUUCGGAAUUACUGGGCGUAAAGCGCGUGUAGGCAGCCUCGCAAGUCGGAUGUGAAAGCCCUGGGCUCAACCCAGGAAGUGCACUCGAAACUGCGAGGCUGGAGUCCUGGAGAGGAAGGCGGAAUUCCUGGUGUAGCGGUGAAAUGCGUAGAUAUCAGGAGGAAUACCGGUGGCGAAAGCGACUCUCUGGACGGUAACUGACGCUGAGGCACGAAAGCGUGGGGAGCAAACAGG